This 253-nucleotide ribosomal RNA is filed under the name uncultured bacterium. RNAcentral describes it as "partial 16S ribosomal RNA". It matches the Rfam family "Bacterial small subunit ribosomal RNA", at positions 524 to 776 of the family's 1533-position model. The record is from RNAcentral.
AACGUAGGUGGCGAGCGUUAUCCGGAUUUACUGGGCGUAAAGCGUGUGCAGGCGGGGCUCCAAGGGGGGUAUGAAAUUUCCCAGCUUAACUGGGAGAGGUUAUGCCAGACUGGAGUUCUAGAGUGCGAGAGAGGGGCGUGGAAUUCCGGGUGUAGCAGUGAAAUGCGUAGAGAUGCGGAGGAACACCGAUGGCGAAGGCAGCCCCCUGGGCUGACACUGACGCUCAGGCACGAAAGCGUGGGGAGCAAACAGG